UCAGAUGAACGCUAGCUACAGGCUUAACACAUGCAAGUCGAGGGGCAGCAUGGUCUUAGCUUGCUAAGGCCGAUGGCGACCGGCGCACGGGUGAGUAACACGUAUCCAACCUGCCGUCUACUCUUGGACAGCCUUCUGAAAGGAAGAUUAAUACAAGAUGGCAUCAUGAGUCCGCAUGUUCACAUGAUUAAAGGUAUUCCGGUAGACGAUGGGGAUGCGUUCCAUUAGAUAGUAGGCGGGGUAACGGCCCACCUAGUCUUCGAUGGAUAGGGGUUCUGAGAGGAAGGUCCCCCACAUUGGAACUGAGACACGGUCCAAACUCCUACGGGAGGCAGCAGUGAGGAAUAUUGGUCAAUGGGCGAGAGCCUGAACCAGCCAAGUAGCGUGAAGGAUGACUGCCCUAUGGGUUGUAAACUUCUUUUAUAAAGGAAUAAAGUCGGGUAUGGAUACCCGUUUGCAUGUACUUUAUGAAUAAGGAUCGGCUAACUCCGUGCCAGCAGCCGCGGUAAUACGGAGGAUCCGAGCGUUAUCCGGAUUUAUUGGGUUUAAAGGGAGCGUAGAUGGAUGUUUAAGUCAGUUGUGAAAGUUUGCGGCUCAACCGUAAAAUUGCAGUUGAUACUGGAUAUCUUGAGUGCAGUUGAGGCAGGCGGAAUUCGUGGUGUAGCGGUGAAAUGCUUAGAUAUCACGAAGAACUCCGAUUGCGAAGGCAGCCUGCUAAGCUGCAACUGACAUUGAGGCUCGAAAGUGUGGGUAUCAACAGGAUA
Molecule: ribosomal RNA, 764 nt
Filed under: Bacteroides sp. ES-18
Lineage: Bacteria; Pseudomonadati; Bacteroidota; Bacteroidia; Bacteroidales; Bacteroidaceae
Description: bacterial SSU rRNA
Rfam family: Bacterial small subunit ribosomal RNA
Source: RNAcentral